GUAUAUGCAAAGAAGAGGAAAGUAGAUGAUUAUGAUCGUUUCAGAGAGCUACUCCAAGGCUGCGAGAGUAGUAACAAUCAAAUCAUUGAAGAUCACCUCGGAGCAUCGCUUGCGAAAGGGAAACUGAGUAGAGGGCGGCGGCAUCGUCUCCGGUAAAAGGACGGGGGUCUAAUUGGACCUACGAAGCUUAUAUUUCGCGAGAAGUAUAAGGAAGCUGAGUGGUAACGCGAAACUCUCGCCUCAGCA
Molecule: non-coding RNA, 246 nt
Filed under: Bacillus thuringiensis
Lineage: Bacteria; Bacillati; Bacillota; Bacilli; Caryophanales; Bacillaceae
Also listed under: 1 other name
Description: T-box sequence
Rfam family: T-box leader
About the family: Uncharged tRNA acts as the effector for transcription antitermination of genes in the T-box leader family. T-boxes are found upstream of many aminoacyl-tRNA synthetase genes and some amino acid biosynthetic genes usually in Gram-positive bacteria.
Source: RNAcentral